Bacillus sp. FJAT-27916 is the source of this 67-nucleotide small RNA. It matches the Rfam family "Bacillaceae-1 RNA". Lineage: Bacteria; Bacillati; Bacillota; Bacilli; Caryophanales; Bacillaceae. The record is from Rfam.
GAUAGAGGUACGAAGACUAAGAACGCCGCGUCGUGCGGCACCGUCUUCAUGACCGACGUCGUGUCGG